GUUCCAGUGGCUUAGUGGUUAGAGCAUCCACCUCAGAUGCGGGAGGUUGCAGGUUUAAACCCAAACUGAGUUUUACA
This is a non-coding RNA of Potamilus streckersoni, 77 nucleotides long. NCBI's taxonomy places the organism in Eukaryota, Metazoa, Mollusca, Bivalvia, Unionida, Unionidae. The record is from the annotation of a GenBank genome assembly.